Long non-coding RNA from Salvelinus fontinalis (brook trout), 2213 nucleotides. RefSeq lists it as uncharacterized. The transcript is spliced from 2 exons. The record is from RefSeq and is a predicted model, not a curated record. NCBI's taxonomy places the organism in Eukaryota, Metazoa, Chordata, Actinopteri, Salmoniformes, Salmonidae.
GGUUCAUCAAAAACAACAAGUCAACCACCUCGGUAGCUUGCUAGCCAACGUAGCCGAAAGAUUCAAGCUGUUUUUACGCUUUCGGUGUAUAUUAGCUGCUGUGUUUUAGACACACUUCUAUCGUAUAUACUUGUUAGCCUAUUUAAUUUAAUGUUACGUUAUUUUCUAUUAGUCAGAUAUAGUAGCUGGCUGGUUAAAUUAGCAGUAGCUUAGUCGCUAAUGAUAGCUAGCUAGCUAAUAUCCCCGAACAUGGGGUCAGUAAGCUUCUCCCCUCCUUCUAAAGAAGAGGUCUGCUGGACGGAGAAAGAAGCUCUGGGGCUGAACAUUGUAGUGAAAGAGGAGAAGGAAGAGGAGGAUGUCACAGUUAAAAAAUAAAUUGAGGGUGAGGCUGUUACAGUGAAAGAGGAAGACGUUACAGUGAAAGAAGAGGAAGACGCGUUCACAGUGAAAGAGGAGGAUGAGAAAGAGGAUGUCGUCUUUGUCGUGAAGAAGGAAGGGGAGAUUUCUGUCACAUUGAAAGAUGAAGAGGUGGAGAUAGGAGAUCUGAUUUACAUCAGAGAGAGACGUGACUAUCGUGGAUCCUCUGGGGAGCCUCAACAACAUCAUGAUGCUAACGAGGCAGAGAAGAGUCUCUAUAGAUCAUAUCACCUCAAGAAACACCAGAGGAGACCCACAGGGAAGAAAUCUCAUUUCUGCUCUGACUGUGGGAAAGGUUGUAAAUCUUCAUCAGAACUUAAAAUACACCAGCGAGUACACACAGGAGAGAAAUCUCACCACUGUUUUGAUUAUGGGAAGAGUUACUUAAGAUCAGAAUCACUAAAAGUACACAUGAGAAUUCACACUGGAGAGAAACCUUAUAGCUGUGAUCAAUGUGGGAAGAGUUUUACUCACUCAAGCUGCCUGAUAGUACAUCUGAGAGCGCACACCGGAGAGAAACCUUACCACUGCUCUGACUGCGGAAAGAGUUUUGUUAGUUCAACAGAUUUAAAAUCACACCAGAAAAUACACACAGUAGAGAAACCUUUUAACUGUACUCAAUGUGGGAAGAGGUUUAAUCACUCAAGCUGGCUGAUAGUACAUCUGAGAGCACACACAGGAGUGAAACCUUAUAGCUGUGAUCAAUGUGGGAAGAGAUUUGUUACAUCUAGCCAUCUGACUAUACACCAGAGAACACACACAGGAGAGACAUCUCAUAGCUGUGAUCAAUGUCACAAGAGAUACUCUGAUAAAAGAUCUCUGAUCAAACAUCAGAAAAUACAUACAUGAAGUAGUUGUUUCAUGAUAUCAAUGAAAUGUCACAAUGUAGAAUAUUUGAAUGAUGUCACAAUGUAGAAUGUUUUAACAUUGUAGUAGGAAUACAAAGGAUUUGAAUUUGAUAAAAGUCCAUAUUGAUACAGAAACACUAAACCAUGAUUUAGAUGUAUUAAGAACAAGUUGAUUGACAAAGUCAUGAAAAAUGGAAUAAACCACAUUUUGGCUCUGAUAAAAGAUAUGGCUCUGGGGUCAAAAUGAUCCAUGUCAGAACUAUGGUUCAAUGUAAAUAUGUAGUGGGUCUAAAGUUUGUUUUAAAUUAUCACUCAUUAAAAACGAAUCAAUCAACACAUGCUUCUCUUUGAACGACUUAAUAUAAUAUUACACUUUUCUGAAAUAAAUGAAAAUAAACUUUUGGUUCCUCAACUGCGUUGCUCACUCCAGUCAGCAGAAAGAGACGCAGCAGAAGUGCCUCUUUUUAUAUUUGAUUUGAUUUAUAUAUUUUUUUAUUCAAAAUGCAGAUCUACAAUUUACAUUGUUACAUCAUACAGAACAGAACACAGGUAUUAACAAGAAAAUACUAAAACAGACAAAACAUAUAAAUAAUUAACUAUUCUAGUGUAGUUGUAAUCACUCUGAAAAAAUCUAUAAUGAUUCAGGAGGAUGUUAUUGUUGUUGUUAUUCACUAGGAUUAAUGUUUUAAUAAAAUAGUUACAUUCAAUCAGAAAAAUUUGUAAUUUUGGUAUAGAAUUUGGGAAUUUUUGUUUGUGUAGAAAGUAUUUGGCAACAAGAAUUAAAAAAAAAUGAACAAUCAUUUGAAUGGUCUUGUUAUCAUUGCAAUAGUAACAUAUUAUAUCUUUCAUGUCAAAAACAUGGGUCGUGUUCAUAAUGGUAAAUAAGUAUUUUUCAAGGUUUUCCCAAAAUUCUGACACAAAUUUACAUUAAAGAACAUUUACAUUAAA